GAUGAACGCUGGCGGCGUGCUUAACACAUGCAAGUCGAACGAUGAAGCCCAGCUUGCUGGGUGUAUUAGUGGCGAACGGGUGAGUAACACGUGAGUAACCUGCCCUUAACUCUGGGAUAAGCCUUGGAAACUGGGUCUAAUACCGGAUAGGAGCGUCCACCGCACGGGGGGGGUGGGAAAGAUUUAUCGGUUUUGGAGGGACUCGCGGCCUAUCAGCUUGUUGGUGGGGUAAUGGCUCACCAAGGCGACGACGGGUAGCCGGCCUGAGAGGGUGACCGGCCACACUGGGACUGAGACACGGCCCAGACUCCUACGGGAGGCAGCAGUGGGGAAUAUUGCACAAUGGGCGCAAGCCUGAUGCAGCAACGCCGCGUGAGGGAUGACGGCCUUCGGGUUGUAAACCUCUUUCAGUAGGGAAGAAGCGAAAGUGACGGUACCUGCAGAAGAAGCACCGGCUAACUACGUG
Molecule: ribosomal RNA, 466 nt
Filed under: uncultured bacterium
Lineage: Bacteria
Description: partial 16S ribosomal RNA
Rfam family: Bacterial small subunit ribosomal RNA
Source: RNAcentral